UUUUGUUUUAACAAUAUAAAUAAUAAUGUAAUACUUUUAAUGCAAAGUUUCUCCGCCAGUUCUCGUGGGUGUAGGUUUAACGGGUUGUGAUACUGAUUUAAAAAAAAAUAUAUUUUUUAUUUUAUUUUAUUUAAUUUUUAGCGGCAGGUCAAAGGCUACAAACAAAAUGGCGGAACACCGGUUUGUUUCUACAGUGCUGUGACCGUCUACUUUAAUGCUGCGGAGUCUCUUAGUCCCUGCUCGCAGCUAAUCGCUUCUCUUGGUUGUUGUAUGGAAAAAUACUUCGGCCGAGUCUCCAGGUGAACACAGACGGAAGGAAGCCCACAGCACAGCGGCUAGCAGCUGCAGACCUGCCCGCUGUGUGACGAGAGCUUCCUCGUCGGGGAGCAACAUCACAGAGCAGAUACAUUGCUUAUUAAUACUCCCCUAGGGUUGGAGGGUCUUCAUCAGCGCUCCGUCAGGAUCCAAAUGCAUGACAUUAAAACUCCAAUAAGUGGCAAAGAUGAACAGAAAGAAGGAUAAAGGAUUCGAGAGCCCGCGGCCUUUUAAAUUGACCCACCAGGUGGUGUGCAUAAACAACAUCAAUUUCCAAAGGAAGUCUGUCAUUGGCUACGUGGAGCUGACCAUUUUCCCCACAGUGGUCAACCUGAACAGGAUCAAGUUAAACAGCAAACAGUGCCGUAUCUACAGGGUCAGAGUCAACGAGCUCGAAGCCCCCUUCAUUUACAAUGACCCCACACUGGAAGUGUGCCACAACGAGUCCAAGCAACGGAACCUGAACUAUUUCUCCAGUGCCUACACAGCAGCUGUGAGUGCUGUGGACCCUGAUGCUGGAAAUGGAGAACUGGUUAUCAAAGUUCCCUCUGAACUCUGGAAGCAAGGAGAUGAUCUGAAGGUGUUAAAGGUUUAUAUUGAGUUUUCGUUGGACCAGCCCAAAGGGGGUCUCCACUUUGUAGUUCCUGAUGUGGAAGGCAGCAUGGCAGAGAGGGGAGCCCAUGUGUUCUCCUUUGGAUACCAGAACUCCACAAGGUUCUGGUUCCCCUGUGUGGACUCCUAUUCAGAGCUGUGUACCUGGAAGCUGGAGUUUACUGUGGAUGCAUCCAUGGUGGCAGUGUCCUGUGGGGACCUGGUGGAGACCAUCUACACCCAUGACAUGAGGAAGAAAACUUUCCACUAUGUCCUUCCCAUCCCCACUGCAGCCCCUAACAUAUCUCUGGCUGUUGGGCCCUUUGAAAUCCUUGUGGACCCCUACAUGCAUGAGGUGACCCAUUUCUGCUUGCCGCAGCUGCUCCCUCUGCUCAAACACUCCAUGUCCUACCUGCAUGAGAUUUUUGAGUUCUACGAAGAGAUCCUGACGUGCCGCUACCCAUACUCCUGCUUCAAGACCGUGUUUGUGGAUGAGGCCUAUGUUCAAGUGUCAUCUUACGCUUCGAUGAGCAUCUUCAGUACCAACCUGCUCCACAGCCCUAUGAUCAUAGACCAGACCCCGCAGACCCGGCGCUGUCUGGCUCAGGCCUUGGCUCAGCAGUUCUUUGGCUGUUUUAUCUCCAGAAUGUCAUGGGCUGAUGAGUGGGUGUUGAAGGGCAUCUCUGGCUACAUAUAUGGCCUUUACCUGAAGAAGACGUUCGGAGUCAAUGAAUACCGACACUGGAUUAAAGAGGAGCUGGACAGGAUUGUGGAGUAUGAACUGAAGAUGGGAGGUGUUCUGUUGCACCCCACCUUCAGUGGAGGCAAAGAAAAGGACAAUCCAACUCCCCACCUUCACUUCUCCAUCAAGCACCCCCACACCCUGUCCUGGGAGUACUUCAGGAUGUUCCAGUGUAAGGCUCACCUAGUUAUGAGGCUGAUUGAAAACAGGAUCAGCAUGGAGUUCAUGCUGCAGGUGUUUAACAAACUCCUGAGCCUGGCCAGUACAGCGUCAUCGCAGAAGUACCAGAGCCACAUGUGGAGCCAGAUGCUUCUGUCAACUCACGCUUUCCUCAAAUCCAUCUCCAACGUCUCUGGCAAAGACAUCGGCCCUCUGAUCAAACAGUGGGUAGAUCAGAGCGGGGUGGUGAAAUUCUUUGGCAGCUUUGCUUUCAACAGGAAGAGAAAUGUGCUGGAGCUGGAGAUCCGCCAGGACUACACGUCCUCUGGAACUCAGAAAUAUGUGGGACCCAUCAAGGUGACGGUCCAGGAGCUGGAUGGCUCUUUCAACCACACGCUGCAGAUAGAGGAGAACAGUCUGAAACAUGACAUCCCCUGCCAUUCAAAGAGCAGAAGAAACAAGAAGAAGAAGAUUCCUCUAAUGAAUGGAGAGGAAGUUGACAUGGAUUUGUCUGCAAUGGAUGCUGACUCUCCUCUCCUGUGGAUCCGAAUUGACCCAGACAUGUCCAUUCUGAGGAAAGUGGAGUUUGAGCAGGCCGACUUCAUGUGGCAAUAUCAGCUGCGCUAUGAGAGGGACGUGGUUGCACAGGAGGAAGCCAUCACAGCACUGGAAAAAUUUCCAACUCCUGCCUCCAGAUUGGCUCUGACUGACAUCCUGGAGCAAGAACAAUGUUUUUACAAAGUCCGCAUGCAGGCCUGCUUUUGCUUGGCCAAGAUUGCCAAUUCCAUGAUGAGCACGUGGCAGGGUCCACCAGCCAUGAAGUCGCUCUUCACCAGAAUGUUCUGCUGUAAGAGCUGCCCCAACAUCGUCAGGACCAACAACUUCAUUAACUUCCAGAGCUACUUCCUGCAGAAGACGAUGCCGGUUGCCAUGGCGUUACUCAGAGAUGUGCAGAACCUCUGUCCCAAAGAUGUCCUCAACUUUAUACUUGACCUCAUCAAGUAUAAUGACAACCGGAAAAACAAAUUCUCAGAUAACUACUACCGAGCAGAUCUGAUCGAGGCCUUGACCAACUCCCUCACUCCAGCCAUCAGCAUCAGCAAUGAGGUGCGAACGGUGGACAAUUUAAAUCCUGAUGUCCGUCUCAUCCUGGAGGAGAUCACUCGCUUCCUGAACAUGGAGAAGCUGCUGCCAAGUUUCAGGAACACCAUCACUGUUAGCUGUCUGAGAGCUAUUCGGCAGCUUCAGAAGAACGGCCAUAUUCCCAGUGACCCGUCGCUCUUCAAGGCCUACGCUGAGUAUGGACACUUUGUAGACGUUCGUGUUUCUGCUCUGGAGGCUCUUAUCGACUACACUAGAGUUGAAAGGAGCUCCACAGACCUGCAGUGGCUGCUUGACAUGGUCCAGAAUGACCCGGUUCACUAUGUCAGACAUAAGGUUCUGGGCAUGCUCUGUAAGAACCCACCGUUCACUAAGACAGCAGACUCAGGUCUGUGUAAUGAAGCUCUGGUUGAUCAGCUCUGGAAACUAAUGAACUCAGGUACCGCCCAUGACUGGCGACUGCGCUGCGAUGCAGUCAACCUCUACUACACGCUGUUCGGUCCGACCCGACCGUCGUGCCUGCCCCUGCCGGAGCUGGGCCUAGUGCUUAACCUGAAAGAGAAGAAGGCGGUCCUCAACCCCACCAUCAAGCCGGAGCUUGGAGUCACCGUUGUCAUGGACACGCCAGCCAGUAUAGGCAUCCACGGUGUUGGGAUGAGCUAUGCAGCUGUGGAUGAAGAGCCGGAUCCUGUCUCUUUGGGGGUGUGUGGUGUGGGCCAACCCCCUCAGGGCCUGAAGAGGAAGGCUGAGACCCCUUUGGGUUCCCCUCCGGAGCCGGGACAGAUCCUGCAGCACCAGGACGAUGAUGGGAGGGCAGGACGCUACAAGAUCAGGUUUAACACCAUGGAAGAGGAGGAUAUUGAUAUGGAGACAGUUCAUGACAGUCAGGCCUUCAUUCACCAUCAUCUCAACCUGUUAGAGAGACCAUCCACACCAGGUAAAGAACCGGCGCUGGUGGAGCAGUCCUUGAUGUCCAUGCCUGCUACUCCUGUGCCCCCGUUCCCCAAGGAGAUAGCCUCCUUGUCUUCCAAGCAUGGAGGUGACCACAGCCACCAUCACCACCACCACCAUCAUGAGCACAAGAAGAAGAAGAAGCACAAGCACAAGCACAAACACAAGCAUAAGCACAAACAUGACAGCAAAGACAAAGAGAAGGACAGAGACAGGGACAACUCGUACGCCUACAGCAACAGCCCGGCCAGCGGCAGGUCUCCACUCUCGCUCUCCGACUGAACAUCUGGAGUAUGUCUGGCUUCCAGCUGCUGGUGGUUCACACGGGGUCAUCUGCAUACAUCUGUGUGACAGGCGCAGCCAUCAGUCCCAUUGAGGGUGGAGACACAUCCAACACGUUCAGAAGAGUCAGAUGUUUCAUCUGCUGAACUAAAGCAAGGCUGAUGUGUCAAAAAGUUCAACCUUCCAACAUGCCUGCUCACUCUCACACACACACACACACUGCGGCCAGCCAGUCUUAGCUGACCUCAUAAUCUCUUCCUCUCCAAACGAAGUUACCACUCUGGUGAGCCUCAGCCCACACUUGGGCAAGCAGUUCCUGAGGUCAAACAGAACCAUUAGCGUGGCGUCCCUGGACUGGGCCUGCAGAGAACACACACUGACUGCGUUGUGCAACUGAAACUCAUGUGGUGCCAUGGGCUUUGUUUUAAUGCCUCCGUUUUCCUGCUGUCGCCACUGAUUUAAGAUGCUGUUGGGUUUUAACUAAAACGGGUCCAGAUCCACAGCAGCUGUCUGCGGCCGGGCUUCGUCUGGUCCCGAUUCUCAGCUUUGAUGUGCUUUUAACAAGCAGAACAAUCAACAUUUUUCUUCAUGUUAUUUGCAGCAACAAUAAAAGCUUUAUGCUGAGGCGACUCCUUUCUCCACUAAGUUGGAAGCUAGUGAAAUAAACUGUAGGUCAUGUUGUGGAAAACGAUCAUCUGGUGGAAGUCAGAAGCCAGCAUUGGUUCUACAGAGGAACUAUAGCUGAUGUUGGGACAGACGAUACCAACAGCAAGAACAACCUACCCGUUUAGACUUUAUUUUAGGAGCUUUGCUUUACUUUUUCCUACUUUGGAGUUUGGAGGUUCAAAAUUGUUGGAAUUGAAAUAAAAUCUCUUUUGUAUUCUUGGUA
Girardinichthys multiradiatus is the source of this 5030-nucleotide RNA transcript. It is a transcript of the gene named TAF2 RNA polymerase II, TATA box binding protein (TBP)-associated factor, with no coding region annotated. Lineage: Eukaryota; Metazoa; Chordata; Actinopteri; Cyprinodontiformes; Goodeidae. The record is from RefSeq and is a predicted model, not a curated record. The transcript is spliced from 28 exons.